RNAcentral lists this ribosomal RNA (423 nucleotides) under uncultured bacterium. RNAcentral describes it as "partial 16S ribosomal RNA". It matches the Rfam family "Bacterial small subunit ribosomal RNA", at positions 361 to 776 of the family's 1533-position model. The record is from RNAcentral.
AUAUUGGACAAUGGGCGAAAGCCUGAUCCAGCCAUGCCGCGUGUGUGAAGAAGGUCUNNNGAUUGNAAAGUACUUUAUGUUGGNAGANAGGGUUGUAGGUUAAUACCCUGCAAUUUUGACGUUACCAACAGAAUAUGCUCCUGCUAACUUCGUGCCAGCAGCCGCGGUAAUACGAAUGGUGCAAGCGUUAAUCGGAAUUACUGGGCGUAAAGCGCGCGUAGGUGGUUCGUUAAGUUGGAAGUGAAAGCCCCGGGCUUAACCUGGGAAUUGCUUUCAAAACUGACGAGCUAGAGUACGGUAGAGGGUAGUGGAAUUUCCUGUGUAGCGGUGAAAUGCGUAGAUAUAGGAAGGAACAUCAGUGGCGAAGGCGACUACCUGGACUGAUACUGACACUGAGGUGCGAAAGCGUGGGAAGCAAACAGG